Molecule: ribosomal RNA, 253 nt
Filed under: uncultured bacterium
Lineage: Bacteria
Description: partial 16S ribosomal RNA
Rfam family: Bacterial small subunit ribosomal RNA
Source: RNAcentral
UACGUAGGGGGCAAGCGUUGUCCGGAAUCAUUGGGCGUAAAGAGCGUGUAGGCGGCCCGGUAAGUCCGCUGUAAAAGUCAAAGGCUCAACCUUUGAAUGUCAGUGGAUACUGCCGGGCUAGAGUCCGGAAGAGGUGAGUGGAACUCCUGGUGUAGCGGUGGAAUGCGCAGAUAUCAGGAAGAACACCGACGGCGAAGGCAGCUCGCUGGGACGGUACUGACGCUGAGGCGCGAAAGCGUGGGGAGCGAACAGG